AUUGAACGCUGGCGGCAGGCUUAACACAUGCAAGUCGAGCGGUAACAGAGAGAAGCUUGCUUCUCUGCUGACGAGCGGCGGACGGGUGAGUAAUGCCUAGGAAUCUGCCUAGUAGUGGGGGAUAACUUGCCGAAAGGUAAGCUAAUACCGCAUACGUCCUACGGGAGAAAGGAGGGGACCUUCGGGCCUUUCGCUAUUAGAUGAGCCUAGGUCGGAUUAGUUAGUUGGUGAGGUAAUGGCUCACCAAGACCGCGAUCCGUAACUGGGCUGAGCGGAGAGUCAGUCACACUUGAACUGAGACACGGUCCAGACUCCUACGGGAGGCAGCAGUGGGGAAUAUUGGACAAUGGGGGGAACCCUGAUCCAGCCAUGCCGCGUGUGUGAAGAAGGUCUUAGGAUUGUAAAGCACUUUAAGUUGGGAGGAAGAGCCGUUAACUAAUAUUUGACUGUUUUGACGUUACCGACAGAAUAAGCACCGGCUAACUUCGUGCCAGCCGCCGCGGUAA
This 506-nucleotide ribosomal RNA is filed under the name uncultured bacterium. RNAcentral's name for it is "partial 16S ribosomal RNA". It matches the Rfam family "Bacterial small subunit ribosomal RNA", at positions 30 to 523 of the family's 1533-position model. The record is from RNAcentral.